Molecule: ribosomal RNA, 253 nt
Filed under: uncultured bacterium
Lineage: Bacteria
Description: partial 16S ribosomal RNA
Rfam family: Bacterial small subunit ribosomal RNA
Source: RNAcentral
UACGGAGGGUGCAAGCGUUAUCCGGAAUCACUGGGUUUAAAGGGUGCGUAGGCGGGUUAUUAAGUCAGUGGUGAAAGCUGGUCGCUCAACGAUCAAAUUGCCAUUGAUACUGAUAGUCUUGAAUUGAGUUGAGGUUAGCGGAAUGUGACAUGUAGCGGUGAAAUGCGUAGAUAUGUCAUGGAACACCAAUUGCGAAGGCAGCUAGCUAGGCUUAUAUUGACGCUGAGGCACGAAAGCGUGGGUAGCGAACAGG